CAGCGUCAGAGUGGUAUAAGAGACAGGUGAGUCAUCGAAUCUUUGAACGCACAUUGCGCCCUUUGGUAUUCCGAGGGGCACGCCUGUUCGAGCGUCAUUUAAACCAUCAAGCACCGCUUGGUCUUGGGCGAGGUCGAGCGACCCGUCCGCAACCCGUUGGCGGCACCGUCCGGCUUCAAGCGUAGCAAUCAUUUCGCUUCAGGAGCUCGUGGCGGCGCUUGCCUGACAACUCACAUCCUAAGUUUGACCUCGGAUCAGGUGGGGAUACCCGCUGAACUUAAGCAUAUCAAUAAGCGGAGG
Molecule: unclassified non-coding RNA, 300 nt
Filed under: uncultured Ascomycota
Lineage: Eukaryota; Fungi; Ascomycota
Description: sequence contains 5.8S rRNA gene, ITS2
Rfam family: Eukaryotic large subunit ribosomal RNA (bases 245-300)
Source: RNAcentral